RNAcentral lists this ribosomal RNA (545 nucleotides) under uncultured bacterium. Its description in RNAcentral is "bacterial SSU rRNA". It matches the Rfam family "Bacterial small subunit ribosomal RNA", at positions 777 to 1320 of the family's 1533-position model. The record is from RNAcentral.
AAUAGAUACCCCGGUAGUCCACGCCGUAAACGAUGAGUGCUAAGUGUUGGGGGGUUUCCGCCCCUCAGUGCUGCAGCUAACGCAUUAAGCACUCCGCCUGGGGAGUACGGUCGCAAGACUGAAACUCAAAGGAAUUGACGGGGGCCCGCACAAGCGGUGGAGCAUGUGGUUUAAUUCGAAGCAACGCGAAGAACCUUACCAGGUCUUGACAUCCCGGUGACCACUAUGGAGACAUAGUUUCCCCUUCGGGGGCAACGGUGACAGGUGGUGCAUGGUUGUCGUCAGCUCGUGUCGUGAGAUGUUGGGUUAAGUCCCGCAACGAGCGCAACCCUUAUUCUUAGUUGCCAUCAUUCAGUUGGGCACUCUAAGGAGACUGCCGGUGAUAAACCGGAGGAAGGUGGGGAUGACGUCAAAUCAUCAUGCCCCUUAUGACCUGGGCUACACACGUGCUACAAUGGACGGUACAAACGGUUGCCAACCCGCGAGGGGGAGCUAAUCCGAUAAAACCGUUCUCAGUUCGGAUUGUAGGCUGCAACUCGCCUACA